Molecule: long non-coding RNA, 481 nt
Organism: Ictalurus punctatus (channel catfish)
Lineage: Eukaryota; Metazoa; Chordata; Actinopteri; Siluriformes; Ictaluridae
Source: Ensembl
CUCGGCUGGAAGUAAAGCAGGGUGGGGGUGAGGGGGCUUUGACAGAUAGAGAAAAGAAAUUUAGCUGUGGCAGAUUCACAUCCCAGGCAGACAGCGGGCAGUUGUAGAUGGUCCCCCAUACACGAGGGAGCAUCCAGAUGCCAGGUCCUGCCACAGGGGCCACAAGGAAGUGGAGUGUGUCCACACAUUCACGUCACCGCUCACCUCAGUCAUCUGGGUGCUAAUGGAUACCGACUCAACAGACUUCCUCGAGGGGUUUCAAAAAAAGGAGAAACAGAACACACAGUGAACACCGAACUCCAUUUCCCACAAGGUCUGGCGGUUCAACUGGAAAACAACAACGAGCUUGACAACACCACAAAUCAUGGCUGACAGCGAGUUACCCAGGUCAAGCUGUGCAGCUCAGUGUCGCAAAUCAUGUCUCCAAACCCCUGCUGUGUUAACCACCACUACGUACAUCAAAUAUCCAGAGUCAACCCAU